UUAAGCAUAUCAAUAAGCGGAGGAAAAGAAACUAACAAGGAUUCCCCUAGUAGCGGCGAGCGAAGCGGGAAGAGCUCAAAUUUAUAAUCUGGCACCUUCGGUGUCCGAGUUGUAAUCUCUAGAAAUGUUUUCCGCGUUGGACCGCACACAAGUCUGUUGGAAUACAGCGGCAUAGUGGUGAGACCCCCGUAUAUGGUGCGGACGCCCAGCGCUUUGUGAUACAUUUUCGAAGAGUCGAGUUGUUUGGGAAUGCAGCUCAAAUUGGGUGGUAAAUUCCAUCUAAAGCUAAAUAUUGGCGAGAGACCGAUAGCGAACAAGUACCGUGAGGGAAAGAUGAAAAGCACUUUGGAAAGAGAGUUAACAGUACGUGAAAUUGUUGGAAGGGAAACGCUUGAAGUCAGACUUGCUUGCCGAGCAAUCGGUUUGCAGGCCAGCAUCAGUUUUCCGGGAUGGAUAAUGGUAGAGAGAAGGUAGCAGUUUCGGCUGUGUUAUAGCUCUCUGCUGGAUACAUCUUGGGGGACUGAGGAACGCAGUGUGCCUUUGGCGGGGGUUUCGACCUCUUCACACUUAGGAUGCUGGUGGAAUGGCUUUAAACGACCCGUCU
This 604-nucleotide ribosomal RNA is filed under the name Rhodotorula mucilaginosa. Its description in RNAcentral is "LSU rRNA". It matches the Rfam family "Eukaryotic large subunit ribosomal RNA", at positions 34 to 654 of the family's 3401-position model. The record is from RNAcentral. Lineage: Eukaryota; Fungi; Basidiomycota; Microbotryomycetes; Sporidiobolales; Sporidiobolaceae.